GGCCUUCUUCCCAAAAAGCCACGCGCUAGCGCGCAUAUACAUCACGUAGACAGUAACCGGCCGAGUGUGUAGACAAUCAACCGCAGGUUGAAUUGUGUGGACAAAACAAAGGGAGAGCCGGGGACGGUUCUUUUGGACAUGACGACCCUGUUUCUUUUCAAAUCGCGAAAAUAUUGAAGAAAAAUGGCGAACGAAGCGGGACGCAGCUGCGUGAUGACAACGACGACACGCAUGUACCUGUUACUACCAUUGGAUUUCACGACGCCGUAAGGGAUGAGCUCGUUAUCUACAUGACCUAGGCGACGCUCAAGAAAAUGUUGAACUCUAUUUGAUAUUAUGACGCGAUUGUAGAGAAGGCCGUUCGCAAAUUAAAGUGUCUGGUUCUC
Long non-coding RNA from Daphnia magna, 386 nucleotides. RefSeq lists it as uncharacterized. The transcript is spliced from 3 exons. NCBI's taxonomy places the organism in Eukaryota, Metazoa, Arthropoda, Branchiopoda, Diplostraca, Daphniidae. The record is from RefSeq and is a predicted model, not a curated record.